This 483-nucleotide ribosomal RNA is filed under the name uncultured bacterium. RNAcentral's name for it is "bacterial SSU rRNA". It matches the Rfam family "Bacterial small subunit ribosomal RNA", at positions 29 to 507 of the family's 1533-position model. The record is from RNAcentral.
AUGAACGCUAGCGGCAGGCCUAACACAUGCAAGUCGAGGGGCAGCACAGGUAGCAAUACUGGGGUGGCGACCGGCGGAUGGGUGCGUAACGCGUAUGCAACCUACCAUUGAUUGGGGCAUAGCCCGAAGAAAUUCGGAUUAAUACUCCAUAAUAUUCAUCAAAGGCAUCUUUUAUGAAUUAAAGCUUUUGCGAUCAAUGAUGGGCAUGCGUGACAUUAGUUAGUUGGUGAGGUAACGGCUCACCAAAACGAUGAUGUCUAGGGGUUCUGAGAGGAUUAUCCCCCACACUGGUACUGAGACACGGACCAGACUCCUACGGGAGGCAGCAGUGAGGAAUAUUGGUCAAUGGACGCAAGUCUGAACCAGCCAUGCCGCGUGCAGGAUGACGGCCCUAUGGGUUGUAAACUGCUUUUCCACGGGAAGAACCCUCCGACGUGUCGGAGACUGACGGUACCGUGGGAAUAAGCAUCGGCUAACUCCGUG